CUUACAUCUAGGACAAUGUGGCCUUGAUCAGCUGGCCUCUAGGUGCUACUGCAAUAUAAACGUUUAAUGUAAUAACUUAAAAUAGUAGGGCUUUAACCACACUGUAUUAUUUGUCAUACUAAGGGAGACCUGCACAGCUAGCUUUAUUUAUGGCAGGAGGGACUCAAACAUGACAGAAAGGCACUGAUCUGAGCAGAGAAGAAGACAGCAUACUCUGGCAGAGAACUUUCUUUCUUUAAGCGAAGGAUUGCAUACUUCCGUUUGCUAAGAAAUAUGGGCUUUGGAAUAAAGAAAGUAUCAGUGCUUACUGACACCAGCUUGGAGUCUCAAGCCUGGUUAGUGGCGAGUACCAUAAUCUCACCUCAAAGAAAGACCAGCAUGCUGAAGGGAGCCAAGUGUAAUCACCACCAGAGGAAAUGAGACAAUUUGGCAGCAGCGUCAGCAGGGGAGCCAACUGGGAUGUGUGUAAAGUGUGCUGUUUACUCACUUCCCAAAUCUGAACAUGAACAAAGUUUAACUUUCUGCUGAAAAAGUCCCUAAGUAUAAUUCAAUCUUUCCACUGAAUCUUUUGG
Molecule: long non-coding RNA, 572 nt
Filed under: Apteryx owenii (little spotted kiwi)
Lineage: Eukaryota; Metazoa; Chordata; Aves; Apterygiformes; Apterygidae
Description: lncRNA (ENSAOWG00000011069.1)
Source: RNAcentral